Molecule: ribosomal RNA, 253 nt
Filed under: uncultured bacterium
Lineage: Bacteria
Description: partial 16S ribosomal RNA
Rfam family: Bacterial small subunit ribosomal RNA
Source: RNAcentral
UACGUAGGGGGCAAGCGUUGUCCGGAUUUACUGGGCGUAAAGGGCGCGUAGGCGGCGACUCUAGUCAGAUGUGAAAGUCCUGGGCUUAACCUGGGGACUGCAUUUGAUACUGGGUUGCUUGAAUUCGGGAGAGGAUAGCGGAAUUCCCAGUGUAGAGGUGAAAUUCGUAGAUAUUGGGAAGAACACCGGUGGCGAAGGCGGCUAUCUGGACCGACAUUGACGCUGAGGCGCGAAAGCGUGGGGAGCAAACAGG